UCCCAGGUGCCUCAGUGAUAAAAGAAUCUGCCUGCGAUGCAGGAGACACAGAUUCAAUUCCUGGACUGGGAA
Molecule: transfer RNA, 72 nt
Filed under: Ovis aries (sheep)
Lineage: Eukaryota; Metazoa; Chordata; Mammalia; Artiodactyla; Bovidae
Rfam family: tRNA
About the family: Transfer RNA (tRNA) molecules are approximately 80 nucleotides in length. Their secondary structure includes four short double-helical elements and three loops (D, anti-codon, and T loops).
Source: Rfam by way of RNAcentral